This 310-nucleotide ribosomal RNA is filed under the name uncultured bacterium. RNAcentral describes it as "bacterial SSU rRNA". It matches the Rfam family "Bacterial small subunit ribosomal RNA", at positions 567 to 879 of the family's 1533-position model. The record is from RNAcentral.
GUCCGUAGGCGGACUCGUAAGUCAGUGGUGAAAUCUCAUAGCUUAACUAUGAAACUGCCAUUGAUACUGCGGGUCUUGAGUAAGGUAGAGGUAGCUGGAAUAAGUAGUGUAGCGGUGAAAUGCAUAGAUAUUACUUAGAACACCAAUUGCGAAGGCAGGUUACCAUGUCUUAACUGACGCUGAUGGACGAAAGCGUGGGGAGCGAACAGGAUUAGAUACCCUGGUAGUCCACGCCGUAAACGAUGCUAACUCGUUUUUGGGUUUUCGGAUUCAGAGACUAAGCGAAAGUGAUAAGUUAGCCACCUGGGGA